Molecule: non-coding RNA, 122 nt
Organism: Hordeum vulgare subsp. vulgare (domesticated barley)
Lineage: Eukaryota; Viridiplantae; Streptophyta; Magnoliopsida; Poales; Poaceae
Source: Rfam
AUGCUACUUCCUCCGUCCAGAAAUACUUGUCCGAGAAAUGAAUGUAUCUAGAUGUAUUUUAGUUUUAGAUACAUUUUUUUUUCAUUUUUCGGACAAAUAUUUUCGGACGGAGGGAGUAUUUG